UAGGGAAAGUUUUUCGGUGUAGGAUGAGACUAUAUAGUAUCAGCUAGUUGGUAAGGUAAUGGCUUACCAAGGCUAUGACGCUUAACUGGUCUGAGAGGAUGAUCAGUCACACUGGAACUGAGACACGGUCCAGACUCCUACGGGAGGCAGCAGUAGGGAAUAUUGCGCAAUGGGGGAAACCCUGACGCAGCAACGCCGCGUGGAGGAUGACACUUUUCGGAGCGUAAACUCCUUUUCUUAGGGAAGAAUUCUGACGGUACCUAAGGAAUAAGCACCGGCUAACUCCGUGCCAGCAGCCGCGGUAAUACGGAGGGUGCAAGCGUUACUCGGAAUCACUGGGCGUAAAGGGCGCGUAGGCGGAUUAUCAAGUCUCUUGUGAAAUCUAAUGGCUUAACCAUUAAAC
This 403-nucleotide ribosomal RNA is filed under the name Campylobacter coli. RNAcentral describes it as "bacterial SSU rRNA". It matches the Rfam family "Bacterial small subunit ribosomal RNA", at positions 202 to 621 of the family's 1533-position model. The record is from RNAcentral. Lineage: Bacteria; Pseudomonadati; Campylobacterota; Epsilonproteobacteria; Campylobacterales; Campylobacteraceae. RNAcentral also lists the same sequence under 1 other name.